Melitaea cinxia (Glanville fritillary) is the source of this 339-nucleotide long non-coding RNA. RefSeq lists it as uncharacterized. The transcript has 2 exons. NCBI's taxonomy places the organism in Eukaryota, Metazoa, Arthropoda, Insecta, Lepidoptera, Nymphalidae. The record is from RefSeq and is a predicted model, not a curated record.
AGAUGAAGAGCACUACUGUCUUCAUGGAAAAUAAACUCAUUAUUUGUCGGGACGAUUCCUCGUUGGGACAUACUUAUUCUACGAAUAUACGAAAAAUAAUAAAAUUUAGUUUUAAAAUUAAAAAUUAUUUGUUCUCAAAGGAAGUAAAUACUAGUAUGUAUUUUUGUGAAUAAUAAAAUAUUAUUAGAUAAGACGUUUUGCGACAAAAUGGCAUGUCCUUAAAAUAUUUGAAACAUAGCAAAGUAUUAAUUACAGCGUAAUUAAUACAACUUUUUUUAUUUAAUUAUUUAAUACAUUAGACAACUUGAUUACAAUAAAGAGCUAUUUUGUUACUCAUUA